Molecule: ribosomal RNA, 269 nt
Filed under: uncultured microorganism
Description: partial 16S ribosomal RNA
Rfam family: Bacterial small subunit ribosomal RNA
Source: RNAcentral
GAGUUUGAUCGUGGCUCAGGACGAACGCUGGCGGCGUGCUUAACACAUGCAAGUCGAACGAGAAUCUACUGAAAGAGUUUUCGGACAAUGGAAGUAGAGGAAAGUGGCGGACGGGUGAGUAACGCGUGAGGAACCUGCCUUGAAGAGGGGACAACAGUUGGAAACGACUGCUAAUACCGCAUGAUGCAUAAGGUCGCAUGAUUCUUAUGCCAAAGAUUUAUCGCUUCAAGAUGGCCUCGCGUCUGAUUAGCUAGUUGGCGGGGUAACGG